Molecule: ribosomal RNA, 520 nt
Filed under: uncultured Glomus
Lineage: Eukaryota; Fungi; Glomeromycota; Glomeromycetes; Glomerales; Glomeraceae
Description: SSU rRNA
Rfam family: Eukaryotic small subunit ribosomal RNA
Source: RNAcentral
AGCAGCCGCGGUAAUUCCAGCUCCAAUAGCGUAUAUUAAAGUUGUUGCAGUUAAAAGCUCGUAGUUGAAUUUCGGGGUUAGUAGGUUGGUCAUGCCUCUGGUAUGUACUGGUCUCACUGAUUCCUCCUUCCUGAUGAACCUUAAUGCCAUUAAUUUGGUGUUUUGGGGAAUUUGGACUGUUACUUUGAAAAAAUUAGAGUGUUUAAAGCAAGCUAACGCUUGAAUACAUUAGCAUGGAAUAAUAAAAUAGGACGUUCGAUCCUAUUUUGUUGGUUUCUAGGAUUGACGUAAUGAUUAAUAGGGAUAGUUGGGGGCAUUAGUAUUCAAUUGUCAGAGGUGAAAUUCUUGGAUUUAUUGAAGACUAACUACUGCGAAAGCAUUUGCCAAGGAUGUUUUCAUUAAUCAAGAACGAAAGUUAGGGGAUCGAAGACGAUCAGAUACCGUCGUAGUCUUAACCAUAAACUAUGCCGACUAGGGAUCGGAUGAUGUUAAUUUUUUAAUGACUCAUUCGGCGCCUUAC